Molecule: long non-coding RNA, 275 nt
Filed under: Homo sapiens (human)
Lineage: Eukaryota; Metazoa; Chordata; Mammalia; Primates; Hominidae
Description: HSALNT0297429
Source: RNAcentral
UGUCUCUGUGUGUGUGUGUCUCUCUGUGUGUGUCUGUGUGUCUGUGUGUGUCUGUGUGUGUGUGUGUCUGUGUGUGUGUGUGUCUGUGUGUGUGACAGACCUCUGUGAUGGGCUCCCCAUUGCCUACGGAAAGAAGCCCACACCCCCAGCCCACUUCUUCUGUGUGUGGCUGUUGUUCCUCAGGUUCUGUGCACACCAUUUUUGUCUCCUGUCCCAUCUCACCUUCUCUGGUCCUGGCACCUUUGCACAUGUGAUUUCUUCCACCUGGAACGCCA